CUGGUAAAUCUGUCGCUCCAGUCAGUGAGGCAGCGAAGGGCAAGCCGCGCGCCGUUGACCGUGUCUCUGCUUCUUUUUUCGUCUACUCAGCUGCCAAUGCUACGAUUCGUGGUGUACACAAGCAAGACGACGGAACGCUACAACUCCGGAGCUCUUGCAUUGUAACCGACGGCUGCUGGAUUACACGUCUCUUCAAUGGAUCCGAUUAUACUAG
This is a long non-coding RNA of Solenopsis invicta (red fire ant), 214 nucleotides long. RefSeq lists it as uncharacterized. The record is from RefSeq and is a predicted model, not a curated record. Lineage: Eukaryota; Metazoa; Arthropoda; Insecta; Hymenoptera; Formicidae. The transcript is spliced from 2 exons.